GUUUUCGUCAGUAACAGUGUUGAGAUGUCGGAAGAAGUCCAGCAACGAGCGCAACCUGUAAGUUUAGUUGCCAUCAUUAAGUUGGGCACUCUAAGUUGACUGUCGGUGACAAACCGGAGGAAGGUGGGGAGGACCUCAAAUCAUCAUGCCCUUUAUGAUCGGGUUACACACGUGGCACAAUAACAAUACAAAGGGCAGCGAAACCGCGAGGUCAAGCAAAUCCCAUAAAGUUGUUGUCAGUUCGGAUUGUAGUAUGCAACUCGAGGUAUGAAGUAGGAAUCGCUAGUAAUCGUAGAUCAGCAUGGUACGGUGAAUACGUUCCCGGGUCUUGUCCACACCGCUCGUCACUCCACGAGAGUUGUAACACCAGCAAGCCGUUGCGAGCUCGCUCGA
This 393-nucleotide ribosomal RNA is filed under the name Staphylococcus epidermidis. RNAcentral describes it as "bacterial SSU rRNA". It matches the Rfam family "Bacterial small subunit ribosomal RNA", at positions 1048 to 1447 of the family's 1533-position model. Lineage: Bacteria; Bacillati; Bacillota; Bacilli; Caryophanales; Staphylococcaceae. The record is from RNAcentral.